RNAcentral lists this ribosomal RNA (253 nucleotides) under uncultured bacterium. RNAcentral's name for it is "partial 16S ribosomal RNA". It matches the Rfam family "Bacterial small subunit ribosomal RNA", at positions 524 to 776 of the family's 1533-position model. The record is from RNAcentral.
GACGUAGGGCGCGAGCGUUGUCCGGAUUUAUUGGGCGUAAAGAGCUCGUAGGCGGCUUGUCGCGUCGAAUGUGAAAUCUCAGAGCUCAACUCUGACAUUGCAUUCGAUACGGGCAGGCUAGAGUUCGGUAGGGGAGACUGGAAUUCCUGGUGUAGCGGUGAAAUGCGCAGAUAUCAGGAGGAACACCGAUGGCGAAGGCGGCAUCCUGGACCGGCAUUGACGCUGAGGCGCGAAAGCCAGGGGAGCAAACGGG